RNAcentral lists this unclassified non-coding RNA (351 nucleotides) under Nocardia transvalensis. RNAcentral describes it as "16S-23S ribosomal RNA intergenic spacer". Lineage: Bacteria; Bacillati; Actinomycetota; Actinomycetes; Mycobacteriales; Nocardiaceae. The record is from RNAcentral.
CUAAGGAGCAUCUGCACUGUCCGGUCCGAGUAGUCGGAUCUGGAGGUGCCAGAGCCGCUUAUGUUCCCGAAUGUGGAGCUGCGGAGCUCAUGGGUGGAACGCUGAUAUGUGCCUCGAAUGUGCCUGGGUCUCAAUGAGGUUCGGGUUCGGGGAUGUAGUCGACACACUGUUGGGUCCUGAAAGAACACGCGAGUGUUUCUUUCUAGGCAAUCAAAACGAUCCGGGAGGGUUUCCGUUUAGUACCGCCGAGCGUGCUCGGGCCGGCUUCGGGUGUGGAUUCUUCCGGGUGUGUUGUUUGAGAACUGCACAGUGGACGCGAGCAUCUUUGUUUGUAAGUGUUUAAGGGCGUUC